UUGUUUUUGUUCUCGCCGCUUCACUUCCAAAUUGGUUCACUUCCAAAUUGGUUCUCAAUACAAACCCUAUAAUUUCACCUGUGAACACAAACAACAACGUUGUCGGUUCACUUUCAAAUGGUGUUUUCGGUGCAAACUCUUAAAUUUUAAUUUCUCUUCUUUCAAUUCUGAUGCAUCUUAUCAUCAAUGUCAUUUCUUCAAUUUUCCAGGUCCGAAGACACAACUUUGUUAAUGAAAUCACUCCUGCAAAGGAUUCAUGUGACAUUGUUGUUCGAGUGAUUCCCUUAUGGUUUGUACCAAAUAUGGAUUCAAAACAAAACAUCUUUGAAAAAUUGGGUAUGCUCUUGACCUUAUGAUUGCUAGGGGAGUGAUGUUGUUUCAAGAUCAACCUGUCAUCCUACACAUGCUAGAUAUUCCUUUUAUAGAUGAGUCAUUUAAUGGAGUCAAGAUAAAGUUGGUUCAUGCCCCUUUUCCUCUUCUCAAUGGUUUGAUAACUUAAACUUGAUAUGGUUUUGUUAACUUGAUAUGGUUUUGUUAUUCACUGGUUUUAUGCUAUGUUUUUGAUAUUAUUAUAUAGCUUAACUAGUAACAA
Long non-coding RNA from Vicia villosa (hairy vetch), 592 nucleotides. RefSeq lists it as uncharacterized. NCBI's taxonomy places the organism in Eukaryota, Viridiplantae, Streptophyta, Magnoliopsida, Fabales, Fabaceae. The record is from RefSeq and is a predicted model, not a curated record. The transcript has 3 exons.